UACGUAGGGGGCGAGCGUUGUCCGGAUUUAUUGGGCGUAAAGAGCUCGUAGGCGGCUUGGCAAGUCGGGUGUGAAACCUCCAGGCUCAACCUGGAGACGCCACUCGAUACUGCCAUGGCUAGAGUCCGGUAGGGGACCACGGAAUUCCUGGUGUAGCGGUGAAAUGCGUAGAUAUCUGCAGGACACCCGUGGCGAAAGCGGCGCGCUGGACCACUACUGACGCUGAGAAGCGAAAGCAUGGGGAGCGAACAGG
This 253-nucleotide ribosomal RNA is filed under the name uncultured bacterium. RNAcentral's name for it is "partial 16S ribosomal RNA". It matches the Rfam family "Bacterial small subunit ribosomal RNA", at positions 524 to 776 of the family's 1533-position model. The record is from RNAcentral.